This 253-nucleotide ribosomal RNA is filed under the name uncultured Rikenellaceae bacterium. RNAcentral's name for it is "partial 16S ribosomal RNA". It matches the Rfam family "Bacterial small subunit ribosomal RNA", at positions 524 to 776 of the family's 1533-position model. Lineage: Bacteria; Pseudomonadati; Bacteroidota; Bacteroidia; Bacteroidales; Rikenellaceae. The record is from RNAcentral.
UACGUAGGUGGCGAGCGUUAUCCGGAAUGAUUGGGCGUAAAGGGUGCGUAGGCGGUCAGGUAAGUUAGAGGUGAAAGCUCGAUGCUCAACAUCGAAACUGCCUCUGAUACUGUCUGACUAGAGUGUAGUUGCGGAAGGCGGAAUGUGUGGUGUAGCGGUGAAAUGCUUAGAUAUCACACAGAACACCGAUUGCGAAGGCAGCUUUCCAAGCUAUUACUGACGCUGAGGCACGAAAGCGUGGGGAGCGAACAGG